This 253-nucleotide ribosomal RNA is filed under the name uncultured bacterium. RNAcentral describes it as "partial 16S ribosomal RNA". It matches the Rfam family "Bacterial small subunit ribosomal RNA", at positions 524 to 776 of the family's 1533-position model. The record is from RNAcentral.
AACGUAGGACACAAGCGUUAUCCGGAGUUACUGGGCGUAAAGGGCGUGUAGGCGGAUCGGUAAGUCUACUCUGAAAGCUCCUGGCUAAACUGGGAGAGGCGAGUGGAGACUGUCGGUCUAGAGUGAGGAAGAGGAAAGUGGAAUUCCGCGUGUAGUGGUGAAAUGCGUAGAGAUGCGGAGGAACACCAGUGGCGAAAGCGGCUUUCUGGUCCUUAACUGACGCUGAGGCGCGAAAGCUAGGGGAGCAAACAGG